GUAGCAGCAGAGCAAGAGGCUGCUGCUGGCCGAGCUGUUGAGCAAGAAUUUGUGGCUCAGCUGUCGGCACUUAAACAGGAACUUGAAGAGACAAGUCUAGCCAUGUUAGAAUCAGAGAAAAAGCUAAAAUUCAAAGAAGAGACAGCAACUGCUGCCAUGGCAGCAAGAGAGGCUGCUGAGAAGUCAUUGAGAUUGGCUGACAUGAGAGCAUCUAGGCUGAGGGAUAGAGUGGAGGAGCUUAGCCAUCAGCUUGAAGAGUAUGAAACUCGAGAAGACUCAAGGGGACGAAAUGGUCCUAGAUAUGUAUGUUGGCCAUGGCAGUGGCUUGGAAUUGACUUUGUGGGCAUCCGCAAACCUGAAACACAACA
RNAcentral lists this unclassified non-coding RNA (368 nucleotides) under Hevea brasiliensis (rubber tree). The record is from RNAcentral. Lineage: Eukaryota; Viridiplantae; Streptophyta; Magnoliopsida; Malpighiales; Euphorbiaceae.